GCCCGGAUGGCGGAAUCGGCAGACGCGACGGACUCAAACUCCGUUGCCCGAAAGGGUGUGCGGGUUCAAGUCCCGCUCCGGGCACCA
Molecule: transfer RNA, 87 nt
Filed under: Actinomycetes bacterium
Lineage: Bacteria; Bacillati; Actinomycetota; Actinomycetes
Also listed under: 4 other names
Description: tRNA-Leu
Rfam family: tRNA
About the family: Transfer RNA (tRNA) molecules are approximately 80 nucleotides in length. Their secondary structure includes four short double-helical elements and three loops (D, anti-codon, and T loops). Further hydrogen bonds mediate the characteristic L-shaped molecular structure. tRNAs have two regions of fundamental functional importance: the anti-codon, which is responsible for specific mRNA codon recognition, and the 3' end, to which the tRNAs corresponding amino acid is attached (by aminoacyl-tRNA synthetases). tRNAs cope with the degeneracy of the genetic code in two manners: having more than one tRNA (with a specific anti-codon) for a particular amino acid; and 'wobble' base-pairing, i.e. permitting non-standard base-pairing at the 3rd anti-codon position.
Source: RNAcentral